UUAAUCUGAAGUCUGACGAGGAUGAGAACCUCGGGGAGACGAAGGUUCGACUCGAGCGAAGCGAGAACGUUGCGUCAGCAACGGCCCGCAGAGCGAGCCACGCAGUGGCGAGUCAUCAUAUCACCGACCA
Molecule: small RNA, 130 nt
Filed under: Salmonella enterica subsp. enterica
Lineage: Bacteria; Pseudomonadati; Pseudomonadota; Gammaproteobacteria; Enterobacterales; Enterobacteriaceae
Description: RtT sRNA
Rfam family: RtT RNA
About the family: This family represents a bacterial cis-regulatory element known as RtT RNA.
Source: RNAcentral